UUGAACGCUGGCGGCAGGCCUAACACAUGCAAGUCGAACGGUAACAGGAAGAAGCUUGCUUCUUUGCUGACGAGUGGCGGACGGGUGAGUAAUGUCUGGGAAACUGCCUGAUGGAGGGGGAUAACUACUGGAAACGGUAGCUAAUACCGCAUAACGUCGCAAGACCAAAGAGGGGGACCUUCGGGCCUCUUGCCAUCGGAUGUGCCCAGAUGGGAUUAGCUAGUAGGUGGGGUAACGGCUCACCUAGGCGACGAUCCCUAGCUGGUCUGAGAGGAUGACCAGCCACACUGGAACUGAGACACGGUCCAGACUCCUACGGGAGGCAGCAGUGGGGAAUAUUGCACAAUGGGCGCAAGCCUGAUGCAGCCAUGCCGCGUGUAUGAAGAAGGCCUUCGGGUUGUAAAGUACUUUCAGCGGGGAGGAAGGGAGUAAAGUUAAUACCUUUACUCAUUGACGUUACCCGCAGAAGAAGCACCGGCUAACUCCGUG
RNAcentral lists this ribosomal RNA (489 nucleotides) under uncultured bacterium. RNAcentral describes it as "partial 16S ribosomal RNA". It matches the Rfam family "Bacterial small subunit ribosomal RNA", at positions 30 to 507 of the family's 1533-position model. The record is from RNAcentral.